GAGCUGAAAAGACAAGAACAUCCCUGUCUCCACCGAGGAGUGGCAUAUCCAGUGCAUCCGUGAACGUGUGCUAUCAGCCGGCAGCCUUUCCUUUGUUUGCUGGGGGAAGGGCAGCCCUGUUAAAUUUUAUACUUUGCUGCAGAAACUGGGGCACUAAUGUGAUUGCUCACUCUGUGAUGCUGAGCUAUUUUGAAGCAUCCUUUCUGAUCGACUCGAGGCAAAAUGGUGAGGCAGUCAUUUGUCUCUGUCACUCCAGUCUUCCUUCCCUCUCUUGUGGCUUCCUUCCUCCGCCCCCCUCAUCCUUCUGUCAGUGAAUUUCUCCUGCUUCAAACCACAGAUAAGCUGAAAAUGGCUUAAAAGGUUGUCCCCUUUAGGUACACUGUGCCUGAGAAUUUAAUGAGAGGCUCUCUAAGGAUAGUGUUUCAGAUGUUCGCAGGCCAGUCAGAGAUGCAGUGGUGGCCUGGGCUGUUCCUCCACUACCCUUCAGCUGGUUUGCAGCUGAAAAGCCCUGUGCAUCGAAGUACGAGGAAGAUACAUUCUGGCGUUUUUCAAGGUGUGUUCCAUGGAAUAUUAGCUGGCGCCCCUGUGCUUGAAUACUUUUAAGGAACUGUAAAUAACCAAGUUAAACAGAUUGCCUUGCUCUCGGGAUUCUUAAAACUAACAUGCUCAUGGUAAAGGUGCUGCUUCAAACUUCUAAGGGGGUAUUUAGGAUGAACCAUUUCCCGUCUUUUUUUGGUUAUCUUCCCUUUUUAAUUUUUCAUGAAGCACCUUUAUCAUGUGUGACACAGGACAUACUCUGCAGAGCACCAAUCUAGGCCGACCCUCUGGGCCAGUGAGUAAAGUAAAGUCACAAAUAAUAAAGUGAUGUGCUCAGCGUUUCCUAUUGAAUUGAUUGCAGAGUCAGGACUAAGAAGUAGGUGCUCUGACUCCACAACACGGUCAAAAAUUCUAAGUGCGGGGGCGCCUGGGUGGCUCAGUCGGUUAAGCGUCCAACUUCGGCUCAGGUCAUGAUCCCACAGUUUGUGAGUUCGAGCCCCGCGUCGGGCUCUGUGCUGGCGGCUCGGAGCCUGGAGCCUGCUUCGGAUUCCGUGUCUCCCUCUCUCUCUGCCCCUCCCCUGCUCAUGCUCUCUCUC
Neofelis nebulosa (Clouded leopard) is the source of this 1133-nucleotide long non-coding RNA. RefSeq lists it as uncharacterized. The record is from RefSeq and is a predicted model, not a curated record. NCBI's taxonomy places the organism in Eukaryota, Metazoa, Chordata, Mammalia, Carnivora, Felidae. The transcript has 2 exons.